UAUCUCAUGAAUUGUGGAUGUGUAUGGAUAUAAAUCCAUGGAGUCCCAAACAGCACCGUUUGGGAAGCAGUCCAUAUUGUCCUAUAAAGUCUUAGAAUGACCGGAUCCUCUGUUGUCUAGAGGUGAAGGUCUCUCUACCUACAUUCGUCUUCUUGCUUUGACCAACACAUGAUUCUAGAGCUGUAGGUCUCUCUUCCUACAUUCGUCUUCUUGCUUUGACCAACACCUGUUCCAGGUUAAACCAGGUAUAGUGGAGAGUGACAGAGUUCCAGGUUAAACCAGGUAUAGUAGAGAGUGACAGAGUUCCAGGUUAAACCAGGUAUAGUGGAGAGUUCCAGGUUAAACCAGGUAUAGUGGAGAGUUCCAGGGUAAACCAGGUAUAGUAGAGUGACAGAGUUCCAGGUUAAACCAGGUAUAGUGGAGAGUUCCAGGUUAAACCAGGUAUAGUGGAGAAUUCCAGGUUAAACCAGGUAUAGUGGAGAGUUCCAGGGUAAACCAGGUAUAGUGGAGAGUGACAGAGUUCCAGGGUAAACCAGGUAUAGUAGAGAGUGACAGAGUUCCAGGGUAAACCAGGUAUAGUAGAGAGUUCCAGGGCAAACCAGGUAUAGUAGAGAGUUCCAGGUUAAACCAGGUAUAGUGGAGAGUUCCAGGGUAAACCAGGUAUAGUAGAGAGUUCCAGGUUAAACCAGGUAUAGUGGAGAGUUCCAGGGUAAACCAGGUAUAGUGGAGAGUUCCAGGUUAAACCAGGUAUAGUGGAGAGUUCCAGGUUAAACCAGGUAUAGUGGAGAGUUCCAGGGUAAACCAGGUAUAGUGGAGAGUUCCAGGGUAAACCAGGUAUA
Oncorhynchus tshawytscha (Chinook salmon) is the source of this 839-nucleotide long non-coding RNA. Lineage: Eukaryota; Metazoa; Chordata; Actinopteri; Salmoniformes; Salmonidae. The record is from Ensembl.